GCUGGGGGCACCUGAUCAGCCAUCCCGCGUGUGCGAUGAAGGCCUUCGGGUUGUAAAGCACUUUUGGCAGGAAAGAAACGUCGCGGGCUAAUACCCCGUGGAACUGACGGUACCUGCAGAAUAAGCACCGGCUAACUACGUGCCAGCAGCCGCGGUAAUAACGUAGGGUGCAAGCGUUAAUCGGAAUUACUGGGCGUAAAGCGUGCGCAGGCGGUUCGGAAAGAAAGAUGUGAAAUCCCAGAGCUUAACUUUGGAACUGCAUUUUUAACUACCGAGCUAG
This 280-nucleotide ribosomal RNA is filed under the name uncultured Achromobacter sp. Its description in RNAcentral is "partial 16S ribosomal RNA". It matches the Rfam family "Bacterial small subunit ribosomal RNA", at positions 370 to 644 of the family's 1533-position model. Lineage: Bacteria; Pseudomonadati; Pseudomonadota; Betaproteobacteria; Burkholderiales; Alcaligenaceae. The record is from RNAcentral.